This 69-nucleotide ribosomal RNA is filed under the name Staphylococcus aureus. Its description in RNAcentral is "partial 23S ribosomal RNA". The record is from RNAcentral. Lineage: Bacteria; Bacillati; Bacillota; Bacilli; Caryophanales; Staphylococcaceae.
AGAUUAAGUUAUUAAGGGCGCACGGUGGAUGCCUUGGCACUAGAAGCCAAUGAAGGACGUUACUAACGA